RNAcentral lists this ribosomal RNA (1528 nucleotides) under Diploderma flaviceps. RNAcentral describes it as "16S ribosomal RNA". It matches the Rfam family "Bacterial large subunit ribosomal RNA", at positions 274 to 2885 of the family's 2925-position model. The record is from RNAcentral. Lineage: Eukaryota; Metazoa; Chordata; Lepidosauria; Squamata; Agamidae.
GCCACAACAAGCCCAACCACACCACAACAGGCCCCAACAACCAAACCCACCAACCAAAACAUUUGCCACGAGGAAGUAGCUGCGACCGAACCCAACCCACGACGCAAUAGAGACAGUACUGCGAAGAAAAGGUGAAAGAAGGUUACACCAAAAGCAAAAAAAAGCAGGAAUAAGACCCCGUACCUCUUGCAUCACCGUUUAGCAAGAACACACAGACAAGGCGCCACCCAAGUCUGACCACCCGAAUGCAAGUGAGCUAUUUUUUGGUAGUUUAAUAGAACUAACCCAUUUCUGUUGCAAAAGAACGGGAAAACCUAAAAAUAGAGGCAAAAAACCAACCGAACUUGCCGAUAGCUGGUUGCCUGAUACACGAACCUAAGUUCGACCUUUGGUACCGCAAUAUAAACAUAAUGUAACCUCUACCAAAGAAUUAGUCAAUGAAGGUACAGCUCCAUUGACACAGGGUACAACCUUCAUCAGAGAGUAAAAACUUCAACAAAUAAUGUUGGCCUCAAAACAGCCACCAGAAAAUAUUACGUUACAGUAACCAAAAAAAAAUACAACACACCACCACCUCCUGACAGCAUACCCAGGCUAUUCUACCAUCAUAGAAGAAACGAUGCUAAAACUAGUAAUAAGAAACAUUCUCCAGACAAAAUUUUACACUUAUCAGACCUUAUACACGGCACAUGGAACCCUCUACAUAGACCAUAAAAUAAACUGUAAAACCAACUCAGGGUUGUCUACGGACGACCAACAGCCUAAAAAGGAACUCGGCAAACAACCUCUCCAACUGUUUACCAAAAACAUAGCCUUUAGACCACCCAAUAUUAAAGGUGUCGCCUGCCCAAUGAGGGCACUUAGCUCUUAAACGGCCGCGUACAUUAACCGUGCAAAGGUAGCAAAAUCAUUUGUCCCCCAAAUAGGGACCAGUAUGAACGGCUACAUGAGAGAGGACCUGUCUCUUUAGGCCGGCCAAUGAACCUGAACAGCCUGUACAAAUGCAGGCAUAAGAAAACAAGACAAAAAGACCCUGUGAAACUUUAAAUGUCCAUCAACCUAUGAUCAAGACAUUUUUGGUUGGGGCAACCAAAGAGAAAUACAAAUCUCAUAACCCGUCACACGGCAAACACGCCAAAUGACACACACUUAAGACCCAGCAUCACUGAUCAAAGAACCAAGCUACUCCAGGGAUAACAGCGCCACAUUCUUAAAGAGUCCGUAUCAGCAAGAAUACUUACGACCUCGAUGUUGGAUUAGGGCAUCCCAAUGGCGCAAAAGCUAUUAAGGGUUCGUUUGUUCAACGAUUAAAGCCCCACGUGAUCUGAGUUCAGACCGGAGCAAUCCAGGUCGGUCUAUAUCUGUUAAACGCUUCAUCCAGUACGAAAGGACCGAUAAAGCAGGGGCUAUUUAAUAAUACCCCCUAACUGCUAAGAACUGCGAACGAAUAAAGUUCAUCGCAACUCUUACCCACCUACCUCCCAAGAAAAGGGAUGCCCACACGCUCAGCGUGUGGGCUUUUUUUGCC